This 266-nucleotide ribosomal RNA is filed under the name uncultured archaeon. RNAcentral describes it as "partial 16S ribosomal RNA". It matches the Rfam family "Archaeal small subunit ribosomal RNA", at positions 717 to 982 of the family's 1478-position model. The record is from RNAcentral.
ACACGACUACAUUAGAUACCCCCUGUAGUCCCAGCCCUAAACGAUGCGCGUUAGGUGUAUCGGUGACCACGAGUCACCGAGGUGCCGAAGGGAAACCGUGAAACGUGCCGCCUGGGAAGUACGGUCGCAAGGCUGAAACUUAAAGGAAUUGGCGGGGGAGCACCACGACGGGUGGAGCCUGCGGUUUAAUUGGACUCAACGCCGGGAAGCUCACCGGAUAAGACAGCGGAAUGAUUGCCGGGCUGAAGACCCUGCAUGACCAGCUG